RNAcentral lists this microRNA precursor (196 nucleotides) under Oryza barthii. RNAcentral's name for it is "MIR812 microRNA precursor family". It matches the Rfam family "MIR812 microRNA precursor family". Lineage: Eukaryota; Viridiplantae; Streptophyta; Magnoliopsida; Poales; Poaceae. The record is from Rfam by way of RNAcentral.
AAAAAGACAAAUCCUGGGUUUUCGUGUCCAACGUUUGACCCUUCGUCUUAUUUAAAAAAAAUUAAAAAGAUAAGACACGCAUAAAGUAUUAAUCAUGUUUUAUCAUCUAACAACAAUGAAAAUACUAAUUAUAAAAAAAAUUUAUAUAAGACAAACAGUCAAACGUUGGACACGGAAACCUAGGGUUUAUUUUUUG